CGCAUCGGAUCACAGUGCACGGAAGAAUUUGUUGAGCUAUUACGUGCUGUAGUUCAUCCGCAAUUCAACAGUGUUUACGUCGGAAGGAUCGUCGUGCAGUCGACGCCGCGACCUGACAUGAAGGAGCGUUUGCCGACUACGCCUAGAAAGGGAUGUCAAGAUUUCGUGAACCAGAGGCAUCUCUACACCGCAUAGGAACCUAAGACAUUUCUGCAGCCGGAACAGCACGGCAAAUCAUCUGAUCUGCAUGCUGCGACAAGGUAUGGCUCGGCCUGGUGAUGAAGUGUAAGCAGAACAUGCUAUGCUGCGAAUUGGUGCCAAUCUUCACAUCCGAGUUGUUCCCACGACAGUCAAGC
This is a long non-coding RNA of Dermacentor silvarum, 356 nucleotides long. RefSeq lists it as uncharacterized. The record is from RefSeq and is a predicted model, not a curated record. The transcript is spliced from 3 exons. Lineage: Eukaryota; Metazoa; Arthropoda; Arachnida; Ixodida; Ixodidae.